Long non-coding RNA from Pan troglodytes (chimpanzee), 2037 nucleotides. RefSeq lists it as uncharacterized. The record is from RefSeq and is a predicted model, not a curated record. Lineage: Eukaryota; Metazoa; Chordata; Mammalia; Primates; Hominidae. The transcript has 2 exons.
GUGGCGGCAAGGAGAAACUGCAGCAGAGUCGGCACAGGACCCCAGCUUCCAUCCUCACGUUGUGUGGACUUGGUCCAGCUUCCUGCCGCGGACCAUGAGCAAUCCAAGGGUAGGGGAGCCUCAAGAGGGAGACACUGACCUUUACGUAAUGAGGCAGGGAGGGGUUCAAGCAAUUAAUUGAGAAAGGAUGUGACAGGACUGGCACCUGGUCACUUUGUGGCCGUGAGCACCAGCUCCGCCUAUCCCCUCUGCAGGGCAGAAGGGGCGGUGCUGCGGGAGGCGGAGGUGCUGUGGCUCUGGGAAGGCUGAAAAGGGACGGCUGCAAAGGAGAAGAGCUUCGAGUCCUUUCCAUCAGGAGAAAAACCCGGUCAGCUGUGGAGGAGCACUGCACAGGAGUCAGAAAGUGGAGUCUGGGCGUGACCUUGCACCUGACCAGCCUGGGGCUCUAGGUCUGCCACAUCUGGACUAAUCUCCUGUGUCCUGAGCUCCCAGGACCCCAGAGGCAAGCAUGGAGGGGCCAUGCUGGCAGAACCCACAGUGGCUUAGGACGAGCUCCUGCACAGCGGCCUGUUUCCCAGUUGCAACGUGUAUCUCUUUGCCUCUCUUGGCUCAGCCCUGGCCCUAUCCCCAGGCCAUCCAAGGGGCAGCCUGGUGAGGUUUCCUCAACUUUGCUAAUGACUUGACCUACAGUCUUAAGUCAAGAAGGUGUCGCUCUCCUUUGUGAUGGCUGGACGCACAGGAGCUGUGGUCAGGAUGGGGCUAGAGGAGCUGAAAUCCCAGGGCAACAAGGGUAUUUAAAAACACAUCGCAGGAGAAACAGCUAAAGAGUCUUGGAACCAGGAAUCAUAAGCUGUUUGAUGGGAUGAACUAUCUUGGGAGUGAUGAGGUCCCCAUCACUGAAAGUAUUCAAGCAGAGAGAGUCAUGGAAUUAGGAGAUGGAAGAGCAUCAGACACUGAAUGAAGUCUGCACUACAUGAGAUGAAGAACCCUUCCAGCCCUGAGGCCAAGCAGCCACUUCUCUGGAGCAGGCUGGCCCAUCUAUGUCCAGGAGGCCAGCCCCAGGCUAGCUUCUGAGCACUGGGAGCUAAGUCCUUCCCCUUCCAGAGACUGCACAAAGUGUGUGCCACCUCCACGGAACCCUCCUCAUCCACCCAAGAACUCUUCCUCACCUGACCUAAAGCUCUUCAUUUCACACCACCUUUCAAGCAAAUUAAGGAUUAAUUGCCAGCAGCAAUCUCUGUCUUUGUUUGUUUUCUCUAAUGGAAAACCUUUCUCUCGGGAGGGUAAGGUUAUCAGUCAUUCACAGCUCAGUUGUGCUGUGUUUGAUUAGACUGGACGGCAAAGCUGAGUCCUGUUUGGGCUCUGUGCGAUCCUGGGCCCCUUGGAGCCUGUUUUCUCAUCUAUGAAAUGGGAGUAAUAAUAGUGCUUAUUGCACAGUUGUUUUAAGAACUAAAAAUUUAAAUUGUCUAGAAUGUUACACAAACAUAAGCUACCAUAUUUUGGAAAAAUGAGCCAAGAUCAGUGGUGCCAAGGGAAGAAUGGGCAGAGGUGAGCUGUAGGCAGCCAUGGAGGAUGGUCCAGGGUGUGGCUGCCAGAGGGCAUCGGGGGCCAGGCGACUCCAGAAAGGAGCUAGGAAUGUUAGAGAAAACUGCACUAACAGCCAGCAUGCGUGAAGAACUGAUUCAUACUACACCGUGGAUGAACCUCAAGAACAUUAUUCUUGGCAAAAGCAGACAGACACAAAAGGUCACAUAGCAAAUGCUUCCGUUGAUAUGAAAUGUCCAGCACUGGCAAAUCCACAGAGACAGAAAGUAGAUUAGUAAUAGCCAGUGGCUGCAGAGAGGGAAGGAGGGGAGUGAUGGCUUAAUGGGUACAGAGAUUUUACUUUGGGGUAAUGAAGAUAUUUUGGAAUGAGACAGAGCUGGUGGCUGCAUAGAGCAUUAUGAAAGUGCUAACUGCCAUUGAAUUAUUCACUUUAAAACAGUUAAUUUAACGCUAUGUGAAUUUCACCUCAAUAAAAAAGGUACAAAAUAGAAA